This 433-nucleotide ribosomal RNA is filed under the name uncultured Clostridium sp. RNAcentral's name for it is "partial 16S ribosomal RNA". It matches the Rfam family "Bacterial small subunit ribosomal RNA", at positions 341 to 792 of the family's 1533-position model. Lineage: Bacteria; Bacillati; Bacillota; Clostridia; Eubacteriales; Clostridiaceae. The record is from RNAcentral.
ACGGGAGGCAGCAGUGGGGGAUAUUGGACAAUGGGGAAACCCUGAUCCAGCGACGCCGCGUGAGUGAAGAAGUAUUUCGGUAUGUAAAGCUCUAUCAGCAAGGAAGAAAAUGACGGUACUUGACUAAGAAGCUCCGGCUAAAUACGUGCCAGCAGCCGCGGUAAUACGUAUGGAGCAAGCGUUAUCCGGAUUUACUGGGUGUAAAGGGAGCGUAGACGGCAAAGCAAGUCUGAAGUGAAAUCCCGGGGCUCAACCCCGGAACUGCUUUGGAAACUGUUUAGCUAGAGUGCAGGAGAGGUAAGAGGAAUGCCUAGUGUAGCGGUGAAAUGCGUAGAUAUUAGGAGGAACACCAGUGGCGAAGGCGGCUUACGGGACUGUAACUGACGUUGAGGCUCGAAAGCGUGGGGAGCAAACAGGAUUAGAUACCCUGGUA